Long non-coding RNA from Mastomys coucha (southern multimammate mouse), 966 nucleotides. RefSeq lists it as uncharacterized. The record is from RefSeq and is a predicted model, not a curated record. The transcript has 2 exons. Lineage: Eukaryota; Metazoa; Chordata; Mammalia; Rodentia; Muridae.
GUUUGCUUGCCCUACUUGGAGAAGACGUUUCUACACAUCUUCCUAGGGGAAAGUCACACAAUGUCAACAUGGAUUUUUGAACAGCAACAUCCCACGAUCAUAAAGUUGUCACAGCCAGGAAUUCUGAAAAGUACUAGAUGAGAAAGAAGCAAUGGAAACGUUCUGAUGCACAAAAGGCACGUCUGGUAUAAUUGAAUGACUAGAAUGGUGCUAGGAUUAAAGCUGUGCACCACCACUGCCAGUACCAUACCAUCUUUUUCACUCUUUGCUGAAAAAACAGAACCAAGUUCCUCACUGGCUAAUGUUUUAUCAACUUGAAGGAGCCGGCUCAGUGGGCAAAUGUGCUUGCCUGAGCCUAACAACCUGAGUUCUAUUGCUCGGAUCCACAUGGUAGACAUGUUGUCUUCUGAUCUCCAUACAUGCACAGUGACACAUGUGUGCCCCCAUACAUAAGGACACAUGGGAUAGCUAAUCUUGGUUAUCAACUUGACUACAUCUAGAACUAACUAAAACUCAAGGUGAGCACACCUCAAAAAGACCCCUUUGAAGGAUUUUUUUUUCUUGGUUAUAUUAUUUGAGUUAUAAGAUCCUCCCACAAUCUGGGCCACUCCUUCUGGCGGCAGCCCACAUAAAAGGACAUGGAAGAAGGAAUUCAUCUGUCCUGUUCCUGUGCCUCCCUUCCCUGCUGUUAGAACCUACUUCUUCAGGAUUCCAACAGAGACUGAGACCAGGACCUCCCUGGGACUCCAGCAUCAGAUGGGACUGCGGAGACAUCUCUUCUGAACUGAACAACUACCUGAUCCCUGGCCUUUUCAGUCAGGAGAUGGCUACUGUUGGGCUGCUAGGACCACAGCCUGAAAGCCACUCUAAUAAAUCUCAUAUAUGGAUGUUCAUUGUAACUGUUCUAUCAACCCUAACUAAUACAACACACAAAUAAACAUACCUUUUUGUUUGUCUGUUUCUCCA